Molecule: ribosomal RNA, 402 nt
Filed under: uncultured Allobosea sp.
Lineage: Bacteria; Pseudomonadati; Pseudomonadota; Alphaproteobacteria; Hyphomicrobiales; Alloboseaceae
Description: bacterial SSU rRNA
Rfam family: Bacterial small subunit ribosomal RNA
Source: RNAcentral
AGUGGGGAAUAUUGGACAAUGGGCGCAAGCCUGAUCCAGCCAUGCCGCGUGAGUGAUGAAGGCCUUAGGGUUGUAAAGCUCUUUUGUCCGGGAAGAUAAUGACUGUACCGGAAGAAUAAGCCCCGGCUAACUUCGUGCCAGCAGCCGCGGUAAUACGAAGGGGGCUAGCGUUGCUCGGAAUCACUGGGCGUAAAGGGCGCGUAGGCGGACUCUUAAGUCGGGGGUGAAAGCCCAGGGCUCAACCCUGGAAUUGCCUUCGAUACUGGGAGUCUUGAGUUCGGAAGAGGUUGGUGGAACUGCGAGUGUAGAGGUGAAAUUCGUAGAUAUUCGCAAGAACACCAGUGGCGAAGGCGGCCAACUGGUCCGAUACUGACGCUGAGGCGCGAAAGCGUGGGGAGCAAA